RNAcentral lists this long non-coding RNA (1058 nucleotides) under Chrysolophus pictus (golden pheasant). RNAcentral describes it as "lncRNA (ENSCPIG00010002617.1)". The record is from RNAcentral. Lineage: Eukaryota; Metazoa; Chordata; Aves; Galliformes; Phasianidae.
AUGAGAGAUCACAUUUCUGCUGCAUUCAUAUCUGCUAACCUCCCACUUCUUUUCCUUGGUGUAGGACUAGAGGGCCUGAGCUCUGCUCCAACAACUUUUUCCCAUUUAAAGUGUAAUGAUCUCAACUCUGGUCUGUUUUUAGAUGCUGAAGGACAGAGACUGAUGAGCACUAACAGCGAUGUGCAACGUGAACUGAUGACAGUGUGUCCAAGAGCUGUUCUGUAGUGGAGAAGGUAAGUUCAUACGUGUGGGCAGGGGGUGGACAACCAAGCCCUUAAUCUGUUCUGAUUUUUUUUUCUCUGACCCAGUCCUUAGAGUUUUAUGGACAGAUGUUGGACUGAUCAGACAGCUGCUGAAACCAUGAAGAAUUGGUGCAUAUUUUUAUUACUGGGGAGGAAAAGAGAGAUCUAAGAUUUUUAGCCUUUCCACGAUGUUCUCAGGUGCACUGUUGAAUUUUAAGGUGUUUCUGUAUGGAUCCAGAUUGCAGUAUGCUGUAAUUAUAUUUGUUGUCUUUUGAAACACAGACUCAGAUGCAAUUCAGUGUCAUUCUCUGUUCAUUUUCCCGAUUGAGAAUUACUGUCUCUGCAGUGCUUGUUGCUUGAAACUAUUUAGAUGCCAGUGUUUAUUUGUGUCUUACAAGUUCAGCUGAGUCCUCUUUGCUUUAUGGUGAGGGACUGCUGCUGGCUAUUAGCUGUGCUUUAACGACAAAUAUUCCUAUUUUCAUUCAAGUUCAGAUUGUGUUUGCUCUGAAACCCAAUGGAAUUGUUAGCUGUAUCUCAGUUCCCUGAUUUGGGUUGAUAGGACUUGCCUGUGAAUCUUGUUCUGACAGAUCAUCACCUCCCUCCCUGGACUCACAGAAUCACAGACUCCUUCCUUAGCUAACUUAUUAAAGAAUCCCAGGUAUGCUUUGCUAGGUAGAACCAUUUGUAGACAGCAGGGUUUUGUUGUUCAUGGGUGGUGGUGGGGGGAAUAUGUAGCAUGGAAACAUGAAAUCAUGAAAUCUGAAUCACUUUGAAUUUAAAAAUAAAAAUCUAGGAGUUACAGUAUCUUAAUGCCGU